AUUGAACGCUGGCGGCAGGCCUAACACAUGCAAGUCGAACGGUAACAGGAAACAGCUUGCUGUUUCGCUGACGAGUGGCGGACGGGUGAGUAAUGUCUGGGAAACUGCCUGAUGGAGGGGGAUAACUACUGGAAACGGUAGCUAAUACCGCAUAACGUCGCAAGACCAAAGAGGGGGACCCUCGGGCCUCUUGCCAUCGGAUGUGCCCAGAUGGGAUUAGCUUGUUGGUGGGGUAACGGCUCACCAAGGCGACGAUCCCUAGCUGGUCUGAGAGGAUGACCAGCCACACUGGAACUGAGACACGGUCCAGACUCCUACGGGAGGCAGUAGUGGGGAAUAUUGCACAAUGGGCGCAAGCCUGAUGCAGCCAUGCCGCGUGUAUGAAGAAGGCCUUCGGGUUGUAAAGUACUUUCAGCGGGGAGGAAGGGAGUAAAGUUAAUACCUUUGCUCAUUGACGUUACCCGCAGAAGAAGCACCGGCUAACUCCGUG
RNAcentral lists this ribosomal RNA (490 nucleotides) under uncultured bacterium. RNAcentral describes it as "partial 16S ribosomal RNA". It matches the Rfam family "Bacterial small subunit ribosomal RNA", at positions 30 to 507 of the family's 1533-position model. The record is from RNAcentral.